Molecule: ribosomal RNA, 502 nt
Filed under: uncultured bacterium
Lineage: Bacteria
Description: partial 16S ribosomal RNA
Rfam family: Bacterial small subunit ribosomal RNA
Source: RNAcentral
AUUGAACGCUGGCGGAAUGCUUUACACAUGCAAGUCGAACGGCAGCACGGGAGCUUGCUCCUGGUGGCGAGUGGCGAACGGGUGAGUAAUAUAUCGGAACGUAUCCAAUAAUGGGGGAUAACUAGUCGAAAGAUUAGCUAAUACCGCAUACGCCCUGAGGGGGAAAGCUGGGGAUCUUCGGACCUGGCGUUAAUGGAGCGGCCGAUAGCUGAUUAGCUAGUAGGUGAGGUAAAAGCUCACCUAGGCGACGAUCAGUAGCUGGUCUGAGAGGACCACCAGCCACACUGGAACUGAGACACGGUCCAGACUCCUACGGGAGGCAGAAGUGGGGAAGUUUGGACAAUGGGCGCAAGCCUGAUCCAGCCAUUCCGCGUGAGUGAAGAAGGCCUUCGGGUUGUAAAGCUCUUUCGCAAGGGAAGAAAACUUAUCCUCUAACAUAGGAUGAGGUCGACGGUACCUUGAUAAGAAGCACCGGCUAACUACGUGCCAGCCGCCGCAGUAA